UACAGAGGUGGCAAGCGUUGUUCGGAAUUACUGGGCGUAAAGGGCGCGUAGACGGCCUUCUAAGUCAGACGUGAAAUCCCCCGGCUUAACCUGGGAACUGCGUCUGAUACUGGAGGGCUUGAGUGCGGGAGAGGGAUGUGGAAUUCCAGGUGUAGCGGUGAAAUGCGUAGAUAUCUGGAGGAACACCGGUGGCGAAGGCGGCAUCCUGGACCGACACUGACGCUGAGGCGCGAAAGCUAGGGUAGCAAACGGG
Molecule: ribosomal RNA, 253 nt
Filed under: uncultured bacterium
Lineage: Bacteria
Description: partial 16S ribosomal RNA
Rfam family: Bacterial small subunit ribosomal RNA
Source: RNAcentral